This 880-nucleotide ribosomal RNA is filed under the name Pseudomonas sp. N3SF33. RNAcentral describes it as "bacterial SSU rRNA". It matches the Rfam family "Bacterial small subunit ribosomal RNA", at positions 1 to 897 of the family's 1533-position model. The record is from RNAcentral. Lineage: Bacteria; Pseudomonadati; Pseudomonadota; Gammaproteobacteria; Pseudomonadales; Pseudomonadaceae.
UUUUUUUAUACCGCCAAUGACGUGCGCGGCCUAACAUGCAGUCGGCGAUNAAGAGCUGCUCCUGAUUCGGCGGCGGACGGGUGNGUAAUGCCUAGGNAUCUUGCCUUGGUAGUGGGGGACAAACGUUUCGAAANGNAACGCUAAUACCCGCAUACGUCCUACGGGAGAAAAGCAGGGGACCUUCGGGCCUUGCGCUAUCAGAUGAGCCUAGGUCGGAUUAGCUAGUUGGUGAGGUAAUGGCUCACCAAGGCGACGAUCCGUAACUGGUCUGAGAGGAUGAUCAGUCACACUGGAACUGAGACACGGUCCAGACUCCUACGGGAGGCAGCAGUGGGGAAUAUUGGACAAUGGGCGAAAGCCUGAUCCAGCCAUGCCGCGUGUGUGAAGAAGGUCUUCGGAUUGUAAAGCACUUUAAGUUGGGAGGAAGGGUUGUAGAUUAAUACUCUGCAAUUUUGACGUUACCGACAGAAUAAGCACCGGCUAACUCUGUGCCAGCAGCCGCGGUAAUACAGAGGGUGCAAGCGUUAAUCGGAAUUACUGGGCGUAAAGCGCGCGUAGGUGGUUUGUUAAGUUGGAUGUGAAAUCCCCGGGCUCAACCUGGGAACUGCAUCCAAAACUGGCAAGCUAGAGUAUGGUAGAGGGUGGUGGAAUUUCCUGUGUAGCGGUGAAAUGCGUAGAUAUAGGAAGGAACACCAGUGGCGAAGGCGACCACCUGGACUGAUACUGACACUGAGGUGCGAAAGCGUGGGGAGCAAACAGGAUUAGAUACCCUGGUAGUCCACGCCGUAAACGAUGUCAACUAGCCGUUGGGAGCCUUGAGCUCUUAGUGGCGCAGCUAACGCAUUAAGUUGACUGCCUGGGCAGUACGGCGCGAACCGGU